Molecule: long non-coding RNA, 615 nt
Filed under: Canis lupus dingo (dingo)
Lineage: Eukaryota; Metazoa; Chordata; Mammalia; Carnivora; Canidae
Description: lncRNA (ENSCAFG00020002336.1)
Source: RNAcentral
CUGGGAGGUGAAGAGGGAGGGAGUGACCCCCCCGCGCCCCCUCAGUCCCCCUACUACGUCGCCUCCAUAGCCUGCGGAGAAGCGGGGACCGCGCGCAUCGCAGCGCAUCGCCUCACAGCGGAACGCCGCGCACUCGGAGCCGGCGCGGCUCGGCGGAUUUUGGUUUUUUUGCACUGAAUGUAGUCUAGACUCAUCUUCACGGGCUUGUGUUGCCCCAGGAUACUGUCAAAGGCAGUAUUUGUGUGUUUCUGCAGAGUUUUGCACAGAGUCUGUUCCCAUGCAAACCAAUGAGGGAGAAGUGUCGGAAGAAAGCAGUUCCAAGGUCAGUGAAUUACUAAAGAUGCAAACAGUUUGGGUAGAAAUUUAAAACAGGCACUGGAUGAGUAGAGUGGGUGUUUUGUUUUAGGUAAAUUUAGAAAUUAGCUUGAUUUAAAUUAAAACCUAACCUAAAGGUGAGAAGAUUUUUUCUUCUUGAUAACCAUUUUUUGUUAUGCUCCAUGACCAACUUAAAACAAAUUUUACUGAACUCAAAGAGAACUUUGUUUCAUUUAUGUAAUGAUAGCACUUUAUCUUUUAAUGUUUUAUUGUGUAAAUUAUACAUUCUUAUUUUAAGAA